Molecule: ribosomal RNA, 543 nt
Filed under: Triticum aestivum (bread wheat)
Lineage: Eukaryota; Viridiplantae; Streptophyta; Magnoliopsida; Poales; Poaceae
Description: partial small subunit ribosomal RNA
Source: RNAcentral
AUGGAUCUCAGUAAACUUGGACUUGCCCUCCGGAUGAGAUGGGAAUGGCUACGCAGAUUGGACGACGGCCGGCCUUGGCAAGGUCUGAAUCUGGUGCCAGAUAAGCAAGUACAGUGUGCAUUCAAUAGCUUGGUGACAUGGGAGAUCGGUGAUGGCAAACGUAUACUCUUUUGGAAGGACAGAUGGGUGCAUGGUAAUACGAUUGCUGAGCUUGCUCGUAAUCUGGUAACCAAGGUGAAAACGAGGAUGAUCAACACUAGGCUGGCCAGCGAGGGUUUAAACCAGCACGAUUGGACCAAGGACAUCCCGGAGACGCUAUCCACGGAGGAGCUCGCGCAAUUUAUCCAUCUUUGGGAGAUUCUUAUGCAGUUUGACAUCAAUCCAGGAAGUGGAGACAAGGCCGUUUGGGCUUGGCAUGAGUCGGGUGUCUAUUCUGCUGCUUCGGCAUAUCGGAUGUUCUGUGCUGGAGGUAUCAGGUUUGCGCCGGCGCUGCUAUUUGGAAGAACGGAGCACCUCUCGCCUGCAAGAUCUUCGUGUGGCUAG